CAGAAUAUACCAAUAUAUAGGAUAAUAAGUCAGACAUGAGGAUAUUACCGGCUAAAACAUUUCGAUCUUGAUACUCUUUCUACUCCAUUAUUACAAAGAUCCUUGCCUGUUCCCUAGAUGUAUAUCCCCGCUAUUGUUUUGCGUUACCCUAUUUCUACUAUGUAUUCUCCUAUUUAUUUUAUACAUUCUCAUGUUUCUGUUUUUCGUUCUCAAUUUGUUUGUUCUUAGGGCAAAACAUGGCGAUAUGUCCUCGUUCUCGACAUCGAAAACAUGCAUUUGUUCCCAAAAGAUAAGCUCCCUAAUGGUGUUUCUGGCACUAGCCACAAAUUUGAAAACUCUUAUUGCCAUCUCGAGAUGAAUCUCUUUUACCCUUCUUUAAAAAGUUCUAAUUUCCUUUGCCCUUAUUAUCUACCCACUUUCAUUUUUCCAACUGCCUAUAUUGCUGCAUAUUCUCUCCACCUAUGCUUUUGCUAGCACCUCAUGGUAAGUUCUCAGUUCAAGCACUACCAUAGCCUGACUCAAAUGAUCCCUCAAACUCUGUUCAAAAUGUCUUGCCUUCUUUUCCUCGAUGUCCACAAAAGUAGGGACAUAAUGAGAUGAGUCUUCAAACUUAUGCUCAUAUUUAGUUAAUGACAUUGAGCCUUGAGUCAACGUGAGAAACUCCAUUUCCUUUCGAUUUCAAACACUCAUAAGGUAAUACUUGUUCAAAAAAGAUUCCUUGAACUUGUUCCACAUUCAAACUUGACAGCAAACCCUGAACCUUGCAGUUGAUUGCCACUAGCAUCUAGCACCUUUUUGCAGCACAAAGUUUGCCUAUAUAACUCUUUUGGGAUCCGGGUAAGUAAUGAGUUCAAGGAUUCUUUCUAUGCUUACCAACCAGUCUUCUACUCCCAAAGGGUCUAUGCUAACACUAAAAGUCGAAGGAUGUUAUUUCUUGAAUUGCUUUACAAUCACAACAGUGAUUCUAGAGUGUACUAUCACUUCUUGAGGCGGAUGAGGUUGUUGUGGCACAAGUGGUGGUGUCGGUUGCUGAGGAGGUGGUGGUGUCGGCAUAGUUUAAUCGAGAGUUUGCAUCAUGGUCAGAAAUUACUGGGCAAGUUGUGGGUCAAUCGCAAUAGGUUGUGGUUGUUAAGGUUGUUGGGGUUGUUCAUUUUUAUUAUUUGCUCUUCUACAUUGAGGUACCAUAUGUUUAAGUAAAAUAUAAUUAAGGAAAUUAAAGACUGCACGAGAAGAGAGCAAUAACAUUUUUUAUUCA
This 1255-nucleotide long non-coding RNA is filed under the name Olea europaea (common olive). RNAcentral's name for it is "long non-coding RNA (OEUR_LNC007120)". Lineage: Eukaryota; Viridiplantae; Streptophyta; Magnoliopsida; Lamiales; Oleaceae. The record is from RNAcentral.